UGUGAAAGCAUAACGUAUUCAAUUUAUCUAGGAUACAUGUAGUAACUUCCUGAUUUGUCUAACUAAGUAGACAGACCUAAAGAUUUCUCAGUGUUUGUAUAUUUUGCACACUUUGAGUAAUGAUCUCAAAAUUGAAUAAGAAGGACAUAUUAAUCAAAAACUACAAGUAUAUGGUCAUUCCAGUGAUUGAUAACCAGGGUGUAUCAUUAUGAAAAACCGAUUAUGUCAACUUAUGAACCAGAAACUACGAUAAAACUAGACUCAACCUUAAAACCUGAUGAUUUCGGGCCUAAACAAGACGAAAACAACGAUACACAGUUUGCAAUUUCAUCGGUCAUCUGUGUAUCCAUUUUCAUAUUGGUGGGAGUAGUUCUUGUAAAAUUUUGUUACUUACGGAGACUGUCUGCUAAAAACUUUCAAAAUGCUCGGCGAAUACGGACUAUAUCUGAAACCCUCCGAGACAGACCACCACAGUAUAAUGACAUCCCAUGCAGAGUAGCAAUAUCUCCAGAUGGAUCUAUAGAAAUAGCAGUUCCAGAAAGCCCACCCUAUGUAAAAGAUCCCCCACCAUACACGGAAUAGGGUUUGGGUAUUGAUAAAUUGAAAAACUAUAAAAGGAGUUAGUAUGUGGACUUACAUGAAAACAUAGGACCAUACUAAACAACAUCAAUGCAUUUUGAUGUGUGCCAGGUCCUGUAUUAUAUGUAUUACAAGUUAAUACUAAAUGUACAUUUGAUAAAAUAGAAUUCUUCUAAAGAUAUUAAUCAAAAUGUUAUCUUAUAAAGUAUUAUAUAUGUGAUAUAUGAAAAAUAUCUUGCCAUUGAUAUUGUUUGCACGACUAGAGACAAUAUUUUUGUUUUAUGACAUUUCGAUAGUCUAGUUCAUUUAAAUGUUUCGGAGUUUAGUGUGACGUCCAUUUUCACUGAACUAGUACAUAUUUUUGUUUAGGGGCCAGCCGAAGCCCGCCUCCGGGUGCGGUAUUUUCUCGCUGUGUUGAAGACCCAUUGGUGGCCUUGGGCUGUUUUCUGCUCUUUGGUCGGGUUGUUGUCUCUUUGACACAUUCCCCAUUUUCAUUCUCAAUUUUAUUCUUUACUUUCACUUUGAACUUUUCUGAGGAAUCGGGUAUAGAUAGUUGAUGGAUGUGUUUUACUGUACGGCAUUUUGGUCAAUUUCUGUUAUCUCUUUUGUUAUACCAGCGUAAAAUAUAUAGUAACCUUGACUUAUUCGUCAGUUUGGGUGUGUUUGAUGUAGAAGUACGAGAUUACUUCUGGCCUGAUUGGGAAAGUUAAAUCUAAUAUACUGUUAAUACCGGUAUCAAUGCGUGCAUUCAUUUUUGCAAUUGUUAAACAAAAGACCUUACUGCGGAAUUAAAUAUUACAAUUUCAGGAAGAGCUGUAACAAUUUAAAAUACUAUUUAAAAUGUAAGUAAUUAUUUUUGCAACGUUGUGAGGUAGUGUUACGCUCAUUGUAAAUUAUAUAUGGAUAAUGGAGAUUAUGUACUCGUAGCUUUAAUAAAAUGAACUAAUUGGAGAUCGCAUAUAUUUGGUUCCCAUAAAAAAAAGUAUGUAUACAUGUUAAAAUCAUCAUUAUAAUCCAGCGAAUCUUUUUAGUUUUACAUAUUUUAAACAUGUCUUAUAUAUAUUAAUUAUCGAUAUUCUAUCGUCCACGACUAAAAGGUUAGCAUUUAAUGUAUCAUCAAAUGUCAUAAACACCUUGAAAGGAUGCAUUAGAAAUUUCCGUUACAUUUUUUAUUUAUGCUGAAAUAGAUAAUUGUUUGAUCUUGAACACUUGGAAUCGUCGGCGAUUGAAAAGCAACUGUUUUUAUUGCAUUUCAAUAUUUUGAAGAUACGAAUGUUUUGAAACGCAUUUCUUUGCUUAUUUAUUAGUAUUGAUAUUUAUAAGUUUUCAUAUUAAGAAAAUUCUUUAAUUUGUAAUAAAACUAUUAUGGAAGAUUUAAACUAAAGGACAGAAUUACCGAGAUAAAAUAUUAGACAGGCGUAUAAGUGUAUAUAUAUGUUUUUUUAUUAAUUCUGAUAUAUUAUGUUUACAUUGUUGCUGUGUAUUAGUUAAUCAUGAAUAAAAUUUAGUUUUAAAGAG
Long non-coding RNA from Mytilus californianus (California mussel), 2097 nucleotides. RefSeq lists it as uncharacterized. NCBI's taxonomy places the organism in Eukaryota, Metazoa, Mollusca, Bivalvia, Mytilida, Mytilidae. The record is from RefSeq and is a predicted model, not a curated record. The transcript is spliced from 4 exons.